This 255-nucleotide ribosomal RNA is filed under the name uncultured bacterium. RNAcentral describes it as "partial 16S ribosomal RNA". It matches the Rfam family "Bacterial small subunit ribosomal RNA", at positions 1247 to 1500 of the family's 1533-position model. The record is from RNAcentral.
AAGCGAAGCCGCGAGGCGGAGCGAACCCCAAAAAUAAACGUCCCAGUUCGGACUGUAGUCUGCAACCCGACUACACGAAGCUGGAAUCGCUAGUAAUCGCGGAUCAGCAUGCCGCGGUGAAUACGUUCCCGGGUCUUGUACACACCGCCCGUCACACCAUGGGAGUCGAUAACGCCCGAAGUCAGUGACCCAACCGAGAGGAGGGAGCUGCCGAAGGCGGGAUUGAUAACUGGGGUGAAGUCGUAACAAGGUAAC